Molecule: long non-coding RNA, 1581 nt
Filed under: Lynx pardinus (Iberian lynx)
Lineage: Eukaryota; Metazoa; Chordata; Mammalia; Carnivora; Felidae
Source: RNAcentral
GGACGAGAGACACACGUGGGUCGGCCCCAGGCAGAAAGCAUCCGGGACCCAGAUCGGCCGAAUCCGUGAGAAGAAAAGGCCCAGAGACCGAGGGGAGAGAGCCAGAGCCAGACCAAGAGUGGGAGAGCCAACCACGAGGGAUCAACGGAGAAAGGGAGAAUCCAGAGAGGCAGGUGGGAGCGUGGGGAUGGGUUGGGUCCCCCCGGGAGCCACAGCCCAGACCCUUGGUAGCACACCCUGGCACCCACUUUGUCCUUCCCGGCGGGACACCUCAGCCAGGCCCAGCCCCUCCCCGAGUCCGGUGCCGCCUUGGGUCCAAGCCCCCCGGGCCCCGACGCCCCCCGAAGGCACUCACAGAGCUUCCCGCCAUGGCUGGGAUGCUGGGGCGACAGGUGUGGCCGUGGGUAUGGCUGCUGGGACCUUAAGUAGAAGCAGAAGCAGGGCGUGGCGGCCCCCGCUGACUCACCCCCAGCCAUUUCCACACCCGCCGCCCACACCUGGCACAGACCCUGGCCCUGGGGCCACCCGGCGGCCCAGCGCCUUCUUGCUGGGCCCGGGACUUCCCUCCACUCACUGAGGGUUCCCAGUCCACCGCCCGCCCCCUCCGUUGAGCUAAGAAUCCUGAAGACAGUUAAGGACGAACCGCCAAGGACAGAGGGGACCCAGGGGGCCACCAUCCAUCCCGGCCAUGUCCCUGCCGCUUGGCACAGGGGAAAGGGUCUUUGCCCUUUUUAUCUUGGACACCUGGGGCCCCGAGAGGCCCACCCGGGGCUGGAAGCGGGGGCCCCUCUCUCCCAGGCUGGGACCUGCGCCUUGGGCUGAGGACGCGUCCACCGAAAUUCCAGCUCACGCUCCCUCGCGUGACGGUGACCCCGGCAAGGACAGCACUGUGCCCGCGGGGCUCCGGGGGGCAGGACGUGUGCCUGAUGAGCCGCGUCUCCCGGGGCCUAGAGCAGCGGCUGGUACACGGUCUGGGCUCCUCAAGUGCGCCUGAAAGACGAAUAAGGAACGACACCAGCGCCUGGUCUGAGGCCCUGGGCGCCUGGCGCACACAGGGCCUCCCCGAGCGCUCACCGCUAGCCGAGCGGGGAAGGGGAUCACUCGCCCCCACUUCACAGACCAGGAAACCGAGGCUCAGACACGGGAGGCCGUUUGCCCGAAGGCGCACGGCCGGGCAAUCCCUGGGUGAGUGUCUCUCUGCCCUUCUUCAACUCUGGCGGGUUCCGCCUUGUUUCUUCUGUCCCUGGGAAUGCCCUGGUGUCUCUCCCUGGCCCUCUGGCUCGGACUCUCUCUCCCUCCCGGGUGGCCCUGUCUGCUUCUCUUCCUCAACGCCAGGUCUCCUUCCUCCUCCCAGAAUGGCUGCCGCUCUCCCAGCCAGGUUCGGGUCAGGGGAGGCAGAGGGGGGCCGUCCUGGGACCCAGCCGCGCCCUGACCCAGGAGCAGCGACGUGGGAUCCUCCACUCAGGCCCACAGCCCAAGAUUCCGUAGUCCCAGAUUCCAGAAGAAGAAUCCAGGAUGGGAAGGGUGGGGUCAGAGGGAGAAUGCUGAAAGAAGGUUCUGGAAGGUAGGGAAGAGGCAGGG